Globicephala melas (long-finned pilot whale) is the source of this 654-nucleotide long non-coding RNA. RefSeq lists it as uncharacterized. The record is from RefSeq and is a predicted model, not a curated record. NCBI's taxonomy places the organism in Eukaryota, Metazoa, Chordata, Mammalia, Artiodactyla, Delphinidae.
CAGAUUUCUGGAUGCCACCUCCAAGAAACUCUGAAUGAAUAGAGUAUUGAGUCCAGUGUCUGGUUCCAUGGUCUCAAGCUCCCAGCUUACUGCCUCUGCUGGUUCUUACCAUCGUCAGCCCCAAGUUCUGGUCUUCUGAUGCUCUUCCUCUGGGAGAGGAAGCACCUAGUAAUUGGCCAACAGGAACCAUGCAGAUGCUUGUGCUCAACCUAAUUCUGGUGCAUUUGAGAGCAAAUGGAGCUUCCCUAAUUCCUGAGACUUAAACACCUGGAAAUUACCUAUGGCAGCUGAGUCACCCACCUCACCUCCUCCCCUCGCUCCUGGAGCCUGCUGGCUGUUUCCAAGGCCCUCCUCAUUAUUCACACCAUGAAUAAUGGCCACAGAAAUACCAAAAGCAACACCUGAUGGCUGUGGAAGGUUUUUAUCCUCACAGGUCGUGAAUACUUUCUGUUUAUCAGCUACACUAAGGGUUUGUGACUAUCUAAGUGUUGUAUUUCUAGCCGCUGUAUUCUGAAGGAAAGCAUCCUGCCCUGAGGUAAGGACAAAUUCUUUAUUCAUAUUGAAAAUGAAAGCAAGUAAAGGGCAAGGAUUUUUUUUUAAAUCCCACUUUCAGUAUGUUCAGAAUGAAAAGUUUUUUGAAAUAAGACCUUUAAA